GAACCUGCGGAAGGAUCAUUGUCGAAACCAAGUGGAAAGACCCGCGAACGUGUAAACGAAAACGUCAAAGGCGGGGGAGUUUUGCUCCCUCCGACCUUUGUCUGCAUGGCUGUCCCCGUCGUUCGGCGCAACGCGGCGCCGCGAAAUGAUUUUUCAUUGGGCCGAUCGGCGGGUUCUUGUCAUGCUAGAAAUCAACCAACAAACGGGCGCAGGCUGCGCCAAGGAAAACGAAAGCAAUAGACUCGUCCUCCCGUGACGCGCUCGCUUCGGCAGCGUUGGGAUGGCGAUGUCGUCAUCGGCAUAUGAUGACUCUCGGCAACGGAUAUCUCGGCUCUCGCAUCGAUGAAGAACGUAGCGAAAUGCGAUACUUGGUGUGAAUUGCAGAAUCCCGUGAACCAUCGAGUCUUUGAACGCAAGUUGCGCCCGAUGCCACUUUAGGCUGAGGGCAUGUCUGUCUGGGUGUCGCACGUAGCGUCACCUGCCAAAGAUCCCCCCUCGGGAUGCGCAGGUGGAUUGUGGCCUCCCGUGACUUCGGAUCCAAGUCGCGGUUGGCCGAAAUUGGAAGGUGGGAAAGUGGGUGCCAUGACAGUGGGUGGUUGGCGAGGCCUCGAUGGCGUGCGGUUACGACAACUUGUCACGGCCCCCCCWAUCCAACCUUUGUUUGUUUCGACCUUGAUGUGCCGUAGGUAGCGGCAUCAUGCGGUGACCCCAGAUCAGGCGGGAUUACCCGCUGAGUUUAAGCAUAUCAAUAAGCGG
Molecule: ribosomal RNA, 756 nt
Filed under: Drosera aberrans
Lineage: Eukaryota; Viridiplantae; Streptophyta; Magnoliopsida; Caryophyllales; Droseraceae
Description: eukaryotic LSU rRNA
Source: RNAcentral